UAGGGAAUAUUAGUAAUGGGCGAAAGCCUGAACUAGCAACGCCGCGUGUGCGAAGAAGGCCUUCGGGUUGUAAAGAACUUUUUGAGAGGAUGAGGGAGGACGGUACUCUCAGAAUAAGUCUCGGCUAACUACGUGCCAGCAGCCGCUGUAACACGUAGGAGGCAAACGUUAUCCGGAUUUACUGUGCGUAAAGCGCGUGUAGGUGGUUUGUGAAGUAGGGCGUGAAAGCUCCUGGCUCAACUGGGGGAGGACGUUCUAGACUGCCAAGCUUGAGGAUGGUAGAGGGAGGUGGAAUUCCGGGUGUAGCGGUAGAAUGCGCAGAUAUCCGGAGGAACACCAGUUGCGAAGGCGGCCUCCUGGACCACUCCUGACACUCAGACGCGAAAGCUAGGGUAGCAAACGG
Molecule: ribosomal RNA, 403 nt
Filed under: uncultured bacterium
Lineage: Bacteria
Description: bacterial SSU rRNA
Rfam family: Bacterial small subunit ribosomal RNA
Source: RNAcentral